This 468-nucleotide ribosomal RNA is filed under the name uncultured bacterium. Its description in RNAcentral is "partial 16S ribosomal RNA". It matches the Rfam family "Bacterial small subunit ribosomal RNA", at positions 28 to 507 of the family's 1533-position model. The record is from RNAcentral.
GACGAACGCUGGCGGCGUGCUUAACACAUGCAAGUCGAACGGAAAGGCCCUGCUUUUGUGGGGUGCUCGAGUGGCGAACGGGUGAGUAACACGUGAGUAACCUGCCCUUGACUUUGGGAUAACUUCAGGAAACUGGGGCUAAUACCGGAUAGGAGCUCCUGCUGCAUGGUGGGGGUUGGAAAGUUUCGGCGGUUGGGGAUGGACUCGCGGCUUAUCAGCUUGUUGGUGGGGUAGUGGCUUACUAAGGCUUUGACGGGUGGCCGGCCUGAGAGGGUGACCGGCCACAUUGGGACUGAGAUACGGCCCAGACUCCUACGGGAGGCAGCAGUGGGGAAUAUUGCACAAUGGGCGGAAGCCUGAUGCAGCAACGCCGCGUGCGGGAUGACGGCCUUCGGGUUGUAAACCGCUUUCGCCUGUGACGAAGCGUGAGUGACGGUAAUGGGUAAAGAAGCACCGGCUAACUACGUG